Molecule: ribosomal RNA, 401 nt
Filed under: uncultured fungus
Lineage: Eukaryota; Fungi
Description: SSU rRNA
Rfam family: Eukaryotic small subunit ribosomal RNA
Source: RNAcentral
GCAAGUCUGGUGCCAGCAGCCGCGGUAAUUCCAGCUCCAAUAGCGUAUAUUAAAGUUGUUGUGGUUAAAAAGCUCGUAGUUGAACCUUGGGCCUGGCUGGCCGGUCCGCCUCACCGCGUGUACUGGUCCGGCCGGGCCUUUCCCUCUGUGGAACCCCAUGCCCUUCACUGGGUGUGGCGGGGAAACAGGACUUUUACUUUGAAAAAAUUAGAGUGCUCCAGGCAGGCCUAUGCUCGAAUACAUUAGCAUGGAAUAAUAGAAUAGGACGUGUGGUUCUAUUUUGUUGGUUUCUAGGACCGCCGUAAUGAUUAAUAGGGAUAGUCGGGGGCAUCAGUAUUCAAUUGUCAGAGGUGAAAUUCUUGGAUUUAUUGAAGACUAACUACUGCGAAAGCAUUUGCCAA